Molecule: ribosomal RNA, 429 nt
Filed under: Actinomycetes bacterium
Lineage: Bacteria; Bacillati; Actinomycetota; Actinomycetes
Description: Actinobacteria bacterium partial 16S ribosomal RNA
Rfam family: Bacterial small subunit ribosomal RNA
Source: RNAcentral
UAGGGAAUCUUCCGCAAUGGGCGAAAGCUUGACGGAGCAACGCCGCGUGAGUGAUGAAGGUCUUCGGAUCGUAAAACUCUGUUAUUAGGGAAGAACAAAUGUUUAUGUAACUAUGCACGUCUUGACGGUACCUAAUCAGAAAGCCACGGCUAACUACGUGCCAGCAGCCGCGGUAAUACGUAGGUGGCAAGCGUUAUCCUGAAUUAUUGGGCGUAAAGCGCGCGUAGGCGGUUUUUUAAGUCUGAUGUGAAAGCCCACGGCUCAACCGUGGAGGGUCCUUGGAAGCUGGAAAACUUGGGUGCAGAGGAGGAAAGUGGAAUUCCACGUGUAGCGGUGGAAUGCGCAGGGAUGUGGAGGAAAAACAGUGGCGAAGACGACUUUCUGGUCUGUAUCUGACGCUGAUGUGCGAAAGCGUGGGGUUCAAACAGG